RNAcentral lists this ribosomal RNA (439 nucleotides) under uncultured bacterium. RNAcentral's name for it is "bacterial SSU rRNA". It matches the Rfam family "Bacterial small subunit ribosomal RNA", at positions 55 to 478 of the family's 1533-position model. The record is from RNAcentral.
CUGCAAGUCGUACGAGAAAUCCUGGGCAACUGGGAGAGUAAAGUGGCGCACGGGUGGGUAACGCGUGGGUAACCUAUCCUUGAAUUGGGGAUAACUCUUCGAAAGGGGAGUUAAUACCGAAUAAUAUUCCAAUUCCCCCGGGAGUUGGAAUCAAAGGUGGCCUCUGCAUGCAAGCUAUCGUUUAUGGAUGGGCCCGCGUACCAUUAGCUAGUUGGUAGGGUAAUAGCCUACCAAGGCAACGAUGGUUAGCUGGUCUGAGAGGAUGGCCAGCCACACUGGAACUGAGACACGGUCCAGACUCCUACGGGAGGCAGCAGUGGGGAAUCUUGCGCAAUGGGGGAAACCCUGACGCAGCAACGCCGCGUGGGUGAUGAAGGCCUUCGGGUCGUAAAGCCCUGUCAGGUGGAAAGAAAAUUGUGGAUGUUAAUACCAUCCAUGC